GGGUUCUCUGCCCCUGCGGGGAUGGAGCGACAGAAGUUUUGAGAAUUCAAGAGAAGGUCACGGCGAGAUGAGCCGUUUAUCAUCACGAUAGGUGUCAAGUGGA
This 103-nucleotide ribosomal RNA is filed under the name Gynostemma pentaphyllum. RNAcentral describes it as "4.5S ribosomal RNA". RNAcentral also lists the same sequence under 2 other names. Lineage: Eukaryota; Viridiplantae; Streptophyta; Magnoliopsida; Cucurbitales; Cucurbitaceae. The record is from RNAcentral.